GAUGAAGAACGUAGCGAAAUGCGAUAAGUAAUGUGAAUUGCAGAAUUCAGUGAAUCAUCGAGUCUCUGAACGCACAUUGCGCCCCCUGGUAUUCCGGGGGGCAUGCCUGUCCGAGCGUCAUUGCCGCCCUCAAGCACGGCUUGUGUGUUGGGCCCCCGCCCCCCGGCUUCGGGGGGCGGGCCCGAAAGGCAGCGGCGGCACCGCGUCCGGUCCUCGAGCGUAUGGGGCUUCGUCACCCGCUCUGUAGGCCCGGCCGGCGCCCGCCGGCGACCCCAAUCAAUCUUUCCAGGUUGACCUCGGAUCAGGUAGGGAUACCCGCUGAACUUAAGCAUAUCAAUAAGCGGAGGA
RNAcentral lists this unclassified non-coding RNA (348 nucleotides) under soil metagenome. RNAcentral describes it as "partial contains 5.8S ribosomal RNA, internal transcribed spacer 2, and large subunit ribosomal RNA". The stretch from base 1 to 120 matches the Rfam family "5.8S ribosomal RNA", at positions 35 to 154 of the family's 154-position model. The record is from RNAcentral.